RNAcentral lists this non-coding RNA (122 nucleotides) under Sphingopyxis sp. RNAcentral describes it as "Glycine sequence". It matches the Rfam family "Glycine riboswitch aptamer". From Rfam's summary of the family: This family represents the bacterial glycine riboswitch. Lineage: Bacteria; Pseudomonadati; Pseudomonadota; Alphaproteobacteria; Sphingomonadales; Sphingopyxidaceae. The record is from RNAcentral.
AACGGACACUCUGGAAAGCGUUCCGGCCAUCCGCCGGAACCACCGAAGGGGUAACUCCCAGCGCAACCCCGCAGAGGGCGCAUGGAGGAAAACUCUCAGGUUCCCGUGACAGAGGGGGCAUG